AACGUUUAGAGCCUAAUUAUUCCGUUUUGCAUAAAUUUUCCUUUCAAUUUUUAUCCCGUCACCACCUGAAAAGGUACCGACAAUUGUCACCUAAAAUUGUCACCCGAAUGCGACGAUUCUCACCCACGGUGACUACGAGAAUAGGGUAAGAACUCACAAAGUUCAUCCGAAGUGACAAUCCUCACCUAAACCGACUACUGGAAUAGAGUGACUUGGGUGACUCUACUAUCGUCACGUCACUCGAGGCGCAGAAUAAGGGCCUAUGUCUAGUUUUCGCUAGUAUUACACCGAAGACCGCUACUUCUGCCAGUUGUCUCAGGAUUAUUUAUAAGACCUCGAAACAUCGGAAGGUUGGCGUUAGGUUUGCGGAUCAAGUAAAUCCGGGUGUCUUCCAGGAAUUAUAAAAGAACGAAUCCUCGACUGAUCCGGAAACCCCAACCGAACCAGGCACGGAACACGGGUUGUUGCUGAUUUUUUUUGUGAUUAAGUGUUGGA
Uranotaenia lowii is the source of this 495-nucleotide long non-coding RNA. RefSeq lists it as uncharacterized. Lineage: Eukaryota; Metazoa; Arthropoda; Insecta; Diptera; Culicidae. The record is from RefSeq and is a predicted model, not a curated record. The transcript is spliced from 3 exons.